RNAcentral lists this ribosomal RNA (253 nucleotides) under uncultured bacterium. RNAcentral describes it as "partial 16S ribosomal RNA". It matches the Rfam family "Bacterial small subunit ribosomal RNA", at positions 524 to 776 of the family's 1533-position model. The record is from RNAcentral.
UACGUAGGGCGCAAGCGUUGUCCGGAAUUAUUGGGCGUAAAGGGCUCGUAGGCGGUCUGUCGCGUCGGGAGUGAAAACUCAGGGCUUAACCCUGAGCCUGCUUCCGAUACGGGCAGACUAGAGGUAUGCAGGGGAGAACGGAAUUCCUGGUGUAGCGGUGAAAUGCGCAGAUAUCAGGAGGAACACCGGUGGCGAAGGCGGUUCUCUGGGCAUUACCUGACGCUGAGGAGCGAAAGUGUGGGGAGCGAACAGG